AGCAGCCGCGGUAAUUCCAGCUCCAAUAGCGUAUAUUAAAGUUGUUGCAGUUAAAAAGCUCGUAGUUGAAUUUCGGGGUCGGUAGAUUGGUCGUGCCUCUGGUAUGCACUGGUCUUACUGGCUCCUCCUUCCUGAUGAACCGUAAUGCCAUUAAUUUGGUGUUGCGGGGAGACUGGACUGUUACUUUGAAAAAAUUAGAGUGUUUAAAGCAGGCUAACGCUUGAAUACAUCAGCAUGGAAUAAUAGAAUAGGACGUGUGGUUCUAUUUUGUUGGUUUCUAGGACCGCCGUAAUGAUUAAUAGGGACAGUCGGGGGCAUCAGUAUUCAAUUGUCAGAGGUGAAAUUCUUGGAUUUAG
RNAcentral lists this ribosomal RNA (356 nucleotides) under uncultured Glomeraceae. Its description in RNAcentral is "SSU rRNA". It matches the Rfam family "Eukaryotic small subunit ribosomal RNA", at positions 569 to 929 of the family's 1831-position model. The record is from RNAcentral. Lineage: Eukaryota; Fungi; Glomeromycota; Glomeromycetes; Glomerales; Glomeraceae.